CCUACGGGUGGCAGCAGUGGGGAAUAUUGGUCAAUGGAGGAAACUCUGAACCAGCAACGCCGCGUGAAUGAUGAAGGUCUUCGGAUUGUAAAGUUCUUUUCUAAGGGAAGAAGAAAGUGACGGUACCUUAGGAAUAAGCCUCGGCUAACUACGUGCCAGCAGCCGCGGUAAUACGGAGGAUGCGAGCGUUAUCCGGAUUUAUUGGGUUUAAAGGGUGCGUAGGCGGAAGGUUAAGUCAGCGGUCAAAUGUCGGUGCUCAACACCGGCCUGCCGUUGAAACUGGUCUUCUUGAGUGAGCGAGAAGUAGGCGGAAUGCGUGGUGUAGCGGUGAAAUGCAUAGAUAUCACGCAGAACUCCGAUUGCGAAGGCAGCAUACCGGCGCUCAACUGACGCUGAGGCACGAAAGCGUGGGGAUCGAACAGGAUUAGAUACCCUUGUAGUC
Molecule: ribosomal RNA, 442 nt
Filed under: uncultured bacterium
Lineage: Bacteria
Description: partial 16S ribosomal RNA
Rfam family: Bacterial small subunit ribosomal RNA
Source: RNAcentral